Oncorhynchus gorbuscha (pink salmon) is the source of this 1784-nucleotide long non-coding RNA. RefSeq lists it as uncharacterized. The transcript is spliced from 2 exons. NCBI's taxonomy places the organism in Eukaryota, Metazoa, Chordata, Actinopteri, Salmoniformes, Salmonidae. The record is from RefSeq and is a predicted model, not a curated record.
UUGGUUAAGGGCUUGUAAGUAAGCAUGUGACAAAUAAGAUUUGAUUUUGGAUCAAGUUGUACAAACAUCUUAAGGAUGAUCAAAGGAAACAGGAUGCACCUGAGCUCAAUUUUGAGUUUCAUACUGUAAAUAAAGUAUUUGUUUUAUAUUUAAUAAAUUUGCAAACAUUUCUAAACUUGUUUUCGCUUUGUCAUUAUGGGGUAUUCUGUGUAGAUUGAUGAGAAAAUAUUAGAUUAAAUUAUUUUAGAAUAAGGCUGUAACAAAAUGUGGGAAAAGGGAAGGGGUCUGAAUACUUUUCUAAUGGACUGUACCACAGAAUGAACACAACAGGAAGUACACACUUUUCCAUUAUUCAUUUGAUAUAUUUUUGAAAUAUUUUUUUUUAUAUUUUGAAAUGAGUAGAAAGAAACUAGUUGGGGGGAGGGGGGGCACAUUGUGAAUUUCAGUUUUUUUUAACUUGCUUUUAGCACUAUGCUUUAAAUACCACUUCCAAGUGGCUUUAAUAAAGACAGAGUCUUUCGUUUGAUGUUUUUGUUGAUCUUUUGCAUAAUUUCACCAGAACCUUAAUAUAUGCUUUGUCACAGAUGUGUCAUGGGAUGCUACAACAUUGUCUGCUUCCUUGCUCAUGGUCUCAACAGUCGAGAUGUUGUUCUGUAUACCAGGUGUGCUGGAUGUCAACUGUUUGUGUAUCAUGUCUAGCCACAAUACAAAAAUCAUGAUAUGAAGAUUGAUUUAAGAGUUUGUUUCCCAUGUGGUUUUAGAUUAUUUGUUUUUAUUUAACCAGGACAAGACCCUUGAGGUUAGAAACCACUUUCUCAAGGGGGACCUGGAAACUAUGGUGUCUAUCUUGGGCGAUGGGAAGGUUAAAGGCAAAGAGCUCUCACUCUUAGGUGCUGUGAUGGCGAGCCUUGUGUAAUGCACACUGCACCCUUAUAUUGGGAUUUCCUCGCAACAGAUGGCUCCCGUUCGCCUCAGCUCUGGAUCCAUCUGCCAAAGCAGGAGAAAAAGACAAAGGAGUGCACAGCGUGAGCGGAUAAGGAUUGGCAGGCUGUGGGCUGAAACUAUACUUAUCGUUUUUUGAAUCUCUGGUUUUGACCUGCUCCGAUCGACACGCUCCCUGCCAGAGCCACUACACGCUUAAAUAAAAAAGGGGCUAGCUAGUACCUAAAUGGGUUAUUCGGCUGUACCCAUAGGGUUUUACCUGGAACAAAAAAAGCUUCUACUUGGAACCAAAAACAGUUAUCCUAUGGGGACAGCCGAAGAACCCUUUUUUAAAGAGUGCAGCCUUCUCUUCAGACCAGUCUUUAUCAUCAUAAACUCCCCUCUACUCAAUAGCUCUCAGUAUGAUAUGACCACUGCAUUGAAGCCAUUGGGUUGUUCUUGAAUUGUGGAGGUAUUUUCAUCCCUUGGCUUUGUAAUCAUAAAAAUGUAAAGACAAUUACACAUCAUACAUGUUUUUGUUUAUAUUUUACGCUGUUUAUCAAUGAUAACAUAAGUCCUUUAUACUGCAAAACUAUGUUAAUGCAAAGUGUCUUGUGUAGAGUUGUUGUGAAAUGUUUUGGGGAUUUAGAGACAUCUAUUAUUUAGAAUUCUAGAAAGUGAACGAAAGUAUUUCAUAUUGUAUAGAUCAAAAAAUUAAAAUACCUAUUUUCGGCUAGUAUAAUUAAUGUCUGUCACUCAGUUUUAUGUAAUUGGUGUUACCAUCUUGAAAAUCACAAUUCUCUCCAGUGGAAAACUGUAUCAGGGGAGGGGUCUAUAUUAAAGAAAAUUGUUAGCUAAUCACA